Balaenoptera ricei (Rice's whale) is the source of this 721-nucleotide long non-coding RNA. RefSeq lists it as uncharacterized. Lineage: Eukaryota; Metazoa; Chordata; Mammalia; Artiodactyla; Balaenopteridae. The record is from RefSeq and is a predicted model, not a curated record. The transcript has 2 exons.
UGCGCGGAGGGUCCGGAACCUCCAUCCCUAGAGCGCGCACUGGGUGCUCCACGACCCACCUGGAGUGUGGCCAGUGGUUCUCGGGUCUCUUCUUUAGCCAGGAUGGAGUUUGGCGAGAGAUUUGCAGAACCGGGAUUACCUUCCCAACUAGAUUGGACCCGCCUAGCAAAUGGCCUGCAUGAUGGCCUUAACCAGGAGAAGAUGCAAGAGAUUUCAGCUGUCCAGACCAGGAAGUUGCAGGUCCCAUCUGCAGCUGUGAGGAUCUGAACUCAAUCUUGGUGGAAACUUCACUUCUGUCAAUGACCUUCAAACAACAACCACCAGGAGCACACUGUGGGGAGAGGCAGUCCACCAAGGGCCCUGGGUGUCCCUGCCUGUUCUUACUGAGGGUGCCAGACUGCAAGACUUAUCCAUCUCCUGAUUCUAAACAGUUGCUGUAUGAAGUUGUAGAGGCAACUAAAUGUCAAGGUAACCUCAGACUCCUGCUCAACCCCCAGGCAAGGGGGACUGGUUUAAUGGCAUCUUGCUGUAUAACCUUUGCUAUUGCUCAAAAAAUGCUGGACCCUUAGCCCCAGGUUCUUUUACCGUAAAGGAACCCACUGAAUAUACUGGUGUCAUCUGGCCCUCCACAUCUCCCUGUUAAAAUUGGGGCUUAGGAAACCAGUGCAAAUACGCUGACACUCUAGCCACUGUUUUCAGUAAUAAAGCUCUUCAUCUCUGA